This 359-nucleotide long non-coding RNA is filed under the name Homo sapiens (human). RNAcentral describes it as "HSALNT0094780". The record is from RNAcentral. Lineage: Eukaryota; Metazoa; Chordata; Mammalia; Primates; Hominidae.
GUGGGGCUGCAAGUAGAGUUGCUAUGCUGGAAAGGAAAGGUUACUUACGUUUCUGCUUUUCUCUUUUUUUGCUUCUCAAGAUAUCUACUGUAGGUCCUUAUUCAAGAGAAGGAGAGAGGGGAGGGUCUCACUUUUUCGCUCGGUGAGGUUAUAUGGACCCACAUCUCCAGUGGUUAUUAAUCUGCAAAUUGCUCAGAAACCUCAAUUUUCUACUGACUUGUUUGGGAAAUAAUGAAUGAAGACACAAGUCCCUGCGGUUGAGACUGGGCCCCACCCCCUGCCCCCUGAGGAGUGAGAAAGCUGUUAUGUGAUAAGACCCCUUCUGCAAGCGAUAAUUAUGAUGGCUGCUGUGAGUUCCA